This 429-nucleotide ribosomal RNA is filed under the name Bacteroidota bacterium. Its description in RNAcentral is "Bacteroidetes bacterium partial 16S ribosomal RNA". It matches the Rfam family "Bacterial small subunit ribosomal RNA", at positions 355 to 776 of the family's 1533-position model. Lineage: Bacteria; Pseudomonadati; Bacteroidota. The record is from RNAcentral.
UAGGGAAUCUUCGGCAAUGGGGGGAACCCUGACCGAGCAACGCCGCGUGAGUGAAGAAGGUUUUCGGAUCGUAAAGCUCUGUUGUUAAGGAAGAACGAGUGUGAGAAUGGAAAGUUCAUACUGUGACGGUACUUAACCAGAAAGGGACGGCUAACUACGUGCCAGCAGCCGCGGUAAUACGUAGGUCCCGAGCGUUGUCCGGAUUUAUUGGGCGUAAAGCGAGCGCAGGCGGUUAGGUAAGUCUGAAGUUAAAGGCAGUGGCUCAACCAUUGUAGGCUUUGGAAACUGUUUAACUUGAGUGCAGAAGGGGGGAGUGGAAUUCCAUGUGUAGCGGUGAAAUGCGUAGAUAUAUGGAGGAACACCGGUGGCGAAAGCGGCUCUCUGGUCUGUAACUGACGCUGAGGCUCGAAAGCGUGGGGAGCGAACAGG